UAAUGCUGGUUAUAUGAAUUGUUUCUUGCAAUUCUAGAAGGGCUAAAACCAAUUUAAUUAAAAUUAAAAAGCAUGAGGUGUUUUACAUAUAAAACGAUCAAAUAUUUAUUUGUUUGUUACAUGCAAAUUAAGGACAAAUAAUAUGGCUGAAAUUCUAAAAAUUGUUUAUUUUUUCAUCAUCUUACUAUCCCUUAUUCUGGUUGUAACUAGCCAAUAUAGUAAGUCCAUUUUCACACCCAUUUAAAUGUUUUUUUUUCCUUUCGCACCAGUUUCCGACCCACCAAUGGUGGACGACUAAUCCGGCUCGUGCGUAGAGGCAUGCACAAUGGCCAAGCGUUGUUCCCCUAGGAAUCGAACUCGGUUCCUGCGCAACAAAGGAGGAGUGCAAAUGUCCUGAUAAUAAAAGACCAGCUUGUCUUUGGAAACAAUGUUAUUGCUAUUAAGUGACAAAUAAUUCUAUGUUACUUUUAAUAAGCUACUAAUAUUUGAUUUGCAUGUCAUAAUGUUUCCCCUAUUAUGAAAUUUCACACACUUUCAUUCAUGCUUUUGCGACAUUUCAAUUUCUUUUAAUAUAGUCAAAAGCAUGUUAUUAUUAUAUUACUAUGCAAGUAGUAGAUAUAAAAAAUAACAACAAUUUUAAUUACCCAAUUUAAUGAAUAAAGAUAAAUUAUGAUUUUGUCAAAUUAUAAUGCAUUGUUCUUUUAAAUAGAAGAUUGACGAUUGACUUAAACUGAAUCAAUAUUUGUAUGUAUACACAUUUCAAAAAUCAUUGAAAUAAAUUUGAAUUAUCGUAAAUGGAUUCCAUUUUAUAUUUAUUCUUAUAUAUACGUGUAGUAAUUUUUUUUAGGGUUAAUUAAGUAAAUGAUCUUUAUAAAUAUUCAGAAUUUUGUUUUUAGUUUCUACAAAAAAAAAAUCACACUUUUUAGUCCCUAUAAAAUUUUCCAUCAGCAUUUUUAGUCCCUAUAAAAUAUUUUCAUCAACAUUUUUGGUCCCUAAAAUGCUUAAGGAAAAUAUCAAAGGGACGAAAAAGUGUGAUUUUAUUUUGUAGGGACUAAAAACAAAACUGUGAAUAUUUUAUAGGGACUAAAAAUUUAAUUAACCAUUUUUUAUCAGGAACCUCUUAGGAGUAGUUCUUGAGUGUUCGAUCGAUAUAGCUCUUUUGGUUGGUACUUAGUGAAGGUUGGGAACUUACGAGUAGAAGAUCGAUUUCUUUUGGAAUUAGAGAAUACUACGACCUUUGGUUGGUUUCUACAACUAAGGGAAAUCAAAAAUUGGAGAAUAAGUUUACGAGACUUAAGUUGUUCGGGGAUCAACCCCCAUUCCCCAAGCAGUUGCAGAUUGUUUUGGAGGCAUGACUUGCAUGGGUGUUAUCGGUGGAUAUUUAUCAUGUUUGACAAUCAUAAGUGUUUAAGUGAAAAAUGUGAUGAAAACUCGGGUUGCUAGAUGGGCAUAUUUUCAAUCUCCAAUAUGUAUCAACAAUAAAUUUGAUAAACCCCGUAGAAGCCUUGACAAAUGCAUUUUAUUAAGUACUACAAAACAUUCUAAGAAUUUCAAGUCCAAUUCCUAAACAAGAACCUUCAUGCUAAACAAGGACUGCAUCUUCCUCAUCAUUAUGGAUUGCUACACGGCGCCCAUCACAUCAAAAUGACAUUGUGUGUAUGUUUGGAAACAACUAUUUUCCACGGUAUUACCACACAUUGGCAUGGUAGCCGCAUUUCUAACUGCAAAAAAUAACGUUAAAAUUACAUCAUGAUGCUCUUGAAGCGAAUCCAAGCACUAAAUAUCUGUGAAGAUGAUUACUGUAUUAGGAAUUAAUAAGAAGGCCGCCUCAGUUACACUCAAAUUCAUAGAUAGCUUCAAUACAACAUAUCAUUCAUGCUGCCCUCCAAAACAAUCUUAUCCAAGUCUUCCUGAGACAACAAGGUUUUUUU
This 1931-nucleotide long non-coding RNA is filed under the name Medicago truncatula (barrel medic). RNAcentral describes it as "lncRNA gene11599". The record is from RNAcentral. Lineage: Eukaryota; Viridiplantae; Streptophyta; Magnoliopsida; Fabales; Fabaceae.